Molecule: long non-coding RNA, 2099 nt
Organism: Brienomyrus brachyistius
Lineage: Eukaryota; Metazoa; Chordata; Actinopteri; Osteoglossiformes; Mormyridae
Exons: 4
Source: RefSeq, a predicted model, not a curated record
GCGCAUUUGUCGGGGGCGCGCCUCGGUGGUUCAUUUACAGCGCAAAUCGAAAACGCAAGUAACAGCAAAAAAAGGGGAAAAGGAUACCCUGUCACCCUAUGGUUGAAGAUGGAUGGAUGGAUACCCAGAGAGUCUACAUCAAUUGAAUGUAUUCUACACUUUAUACUGAGAACAAACAGCCCCCAGAAAGGGAUGAAGAAGACGAAGGUCUUCAUGGGGUUCAUGAACCAAUUGAAGGACGUCUUGGGUCGACUGGUGAGGUACGAGAAAGAGAGCAGGGCGUUACUUACGUACUUUAGCAAAACAUUGAUUCUGCCUCAACAGUGACCCCCCUUGGUAGCCCUCUUCCAAACUACCUGGUGAUCAUAUAGUUCGCCAAACUGAAAUAAUUCACCUUGCAGCACUUGCUAUUAGCGUUAGAUGGCGAUGCUUGUUAUUUGCCUGAACCCCAUUUAUUGUAAAUAUCCCUGUACUGUGCGCUACAUUAUUGACAAAUGCAGGUCUGCGCCGUGACAGAGCUCGGCUUCUCACUUGGGCUUCUCCAGCGGCUCUGGUUCCUUGCGUGCUUUUCCCACAGGAUUUUUCUCUGCAUCUUCCACUGUCACCAACUGGAACUCAGCCUCCACUUUACCCUGGAAGUCCAAAAAAUUUACAUGAAACAUAUAAAGCCACCGGGGCAGUGAGUACAGUAACCUAUAAUGUCAAUCCUGACAUAUACUCCAUGCUGCCUUCAGGUUAUGCGCUACGAGAGUAUAUGUCAGUUGAAUGUGCCCCAGAAUUUGGCUCCCAUGUUGGAAAAAAUAUCCAGCUCCUCUUUUCUGUGCUUUCUGUCUUCAGCCUAAAUAACGCAGCGCUUUCGCUGCGACCCGUGAAGGAGAACCGAUCGCCAGCAUUACCAUCAGGAGUCGGGGUUUGAUGUUGACAGGUGGUGGCGCUGGAACGUCAACAGGGAACAUGUCGAUCCACAUGUGCGCAUAUCCCUGCCGAAAGCAAAGCAGCGGUCAGUGCAUCGCACUCAGGCACAGGGCGGAGGGGCUGGACAGGGGGCUGCUUGCGGCCAUCACCUGAGGCAGGCCGGGCUUAUCGCUGUUGAAGAGGGAGCGGACCUCCACAUGCUCCGGCACCAGGGGGCAGGAGCCCACGCAGAACUCCCUCAUCUCACCCCAGCGGUGGAGCACACUCAGAGCCCUGUGCUCGUCCAGCUCAUUCAAGUCCUCCUCUGUCUUCUUGUUUUUCUUUACCAGGUCUGGGAAGGCAUGGUGCAGUUCAGGGGUCUCAUUCUCAUUUGGACAGGGGGGACACAGCUCACACUGACAAAGAAUAUGCCAGCUGCAGAAGUGAACUUCAGUCUAUGUGGCUUAACGGGCGACAUAAUUCUGAAGGUCUUUGUCAGGAUCUGAGUUCCUAAACUGAAAGGAUGCAAGCUGAAAUUCCUGCAGAAAUUUGAUAAAUUUAACUACAUUUUUUGUACAAAUCUAGAAUAUCUUUCUAAAACUAUAAGACGCGGAUACUAAUUAAAAUAAAGCGAUAUGUAUUUUUAAUGAUAUCAAUAAGCAAAUGUGUUUAGCUGCAGAUGUGCACCCACAUCCUUAGGUGUAAGUGUGAGAGUGUGCUCAGACCUUCAGGAAAAGCCUCGCUGGGUAUUUUGAAUAUCUUGUUGAGCACUUUGACUUCCGCCUCGCGGUACUCGGGCGGCCCGAUGCCGUUCUUGCGGCAGAGAUCGGCCAGAAUGGCAGAUGGCUUCUUCGAAUCCCUCCACUGAUUGUAGCCAUCCCUGUAGGGAAGACAGCCGCGUAAACUUACUGCGUCGCGGUCAGGUCUAAUAAACAGCCAUUCAAGGGGCGUCAGGUGACCUGUCCAGAAGCCAACAGCUUGCCAGGACGGCCUCUUAUGCUGCGCUGAGCCGGGAGGCUUAUCUGGAUCGCAGGUUCCUCUAUACAAACCUUUUGUCAGUGUUUGAAUGUAGGUGGUUUCGUGUUUCUGGGUAUUGUAGUUUUUGUGCUUCUGGGCGGUUGUUACUUUAUACAGCUAGCUUUGUUUUACCCUGAGCUGAGUUUUCAGGCUGCAUCAAAUUGCUUAAAUAAAAAAUGCAUAAAUAA